UACAGCAAACACACACAACCACAAAAAUAACAUUAAAACAUUCGCAAAAGUAUGAUAACCGUUGAAUCAUAAGACAUAGUUCAGAUAGCACGAACGAUAAGCAUACUUUUCUUCAGACCUCAACUUAAACUACAGGUUAACCACCCAAACUUUUCAUCAGUAUUCAACUUAACUACGGAUAGCUUAAAGUAUCUACUACAUACAUCCAAAAGGUAACACAAUCCAACAUAUAAGCCACCACAAAGUUAUAGCCUGCAAACGAAAGAACCGAGUACAGCCACUUCUUUCCCAAAAUAAACUUGUAUCAUUGUUUUCAUCUAGAGAAGCCACUGGAAGACAAUUGAAAUUGAACAGUCAUAAGUUGACUCAUUGAAGGUGAUGAGCACAACAUUGUCAUUUGCAUAUGAAGUGGCUGAGAUGAACUCGCUGAAACUGGUCUUCUCGAUCACCAUCCUCCCAUGUUGCUUGCACAGCUUGAAAGAUGAUGGCAUGAUAACAUGUGUAUCACCCAGGUAAGCUUCCAGAGAGAUUCUAGCACUGAUUGGCAUGUCAACAAAGUUCCUCAAGCUAAAGACAACGAGCUUUGGAAUUUUCUAACAAUGAAAAUGAAAAAGUAUGGAUCAAAAAUUGCUACCCCAGAAAAAUCUUCAUCAAGACUAAACUUGCAUGAACAAAUCAUUUAGCACAACAAAAAUGUAAACAAAUAAAGAAAAAAUAGAAUGAAGCAGUAAAGUACAAAACUUACCAUGGUGAACUUCUCAGUAUUUGUGGCAGUCAUGACAUGCACGAACGGAACGCAGUGCACGAAGCUUGAAGUCCGGAAAAUUGACCGUACAAACAAGCGGUUGUUGUGAUAGUUGAACUCCAAGCCGCGUGGCAUCACAGCAGAGCAAACUAGCUCGUACCUUGCAUUGCUGAGGUUUUCAAAAGCUACAAAACGGAACACAUAUAAUGCAAAUGAGUUAACAUCUAUGAGAAAAAAUGCAACUAAAAAGGAGAAGAAAAAACAAUGCAGUUAAAAGGAUAAUAAACUACAAACAAAGGCAGAAAACCUCCCUAAAAGCACAAACUACAAAACUCAUGGUUAGAACUAAAAUUGCAACUUCACGCAACUUAAACUUGCAGUUAUUCCUCUAGAGCUACUAGAAAUACGAUAGUAUGAGAAUGUAGAUAUACAUUUCCACAAGAAACAGAAAUAAUGGGUAGCAUUAACAACACAUAACUACAUUGUCAUAAACAAAAGAAGUUAAAAGUAGAAGUAAAAGAAAACACCUCCCUAAAUGCAGAAUUCAGAUCGAUUCAUGAUUGCUACUGAAAAAUGCGUUUACAGGCAAGUAAAGUUGCAGUCAUUGUUUAACAGCAAACGAGCAUGAAAUAAAUUGAGAAAGACAAAAAAGACAACAAGGUAAGUACACAUUUCCGUUAACGAAGAGCUUAAACUAGAAGUAAAGCAGAACACCACUUUUUGGAAAAUUUAAAAAAAAUCAUAAUUACAACUAUAUUUGCAUCUUCAGAGUAAAGGGAGCAGGUCAAAGCUGCAAUACAAGAAAACUCACCAAUAGAAGGUAAAGGAAGAAUCCUUUCGCCAUCACGGAAAGUCUCUACUUUGAUGUCAAAGCAUGAGUUGUCCAGAGUAAAGACCACACGAUCUCCAGCGCGAAGGGCAUAAUCAUUGCUGAACUCAAACCAAGCACUGCCACAAAACUUUGAGUAGUUACCUCGAUGCUUAAAGUCUGAAGCAUAAGACCUACUCUCAUAGUGAGAAUAGCAGGCUCAGUCCUCUUGUGCUUGAAAGUUGUUGCAAUAUUCAUGUGCUCCUCGAUAUAAUCAGCUAAGAAACCCCUCACAUUGCAUGGUAUGUACUGAAAAAAAGCAUGAAACAAACCAAGAGAAAGUAAAAAUAUAGCAUAAAAACAAAAUUGCACAUCCAUCAUGCUUACAAAAAUUAGACAUUUAACAAAACAGCAAAACGAUCAUAUUAAUUAAGUUGAUAUCAUUAUUGACGGUUUAGAUGGAGGAAUCAAACUGCGUGGAUUACUGGAAGUAGAUACGUGGAGGAAAUCAAAACUACAUUCACAAACUAUAAGUACAGCAAAACACAAAGAAAUAAAAAAAGCACAUUCAUCACAAUUAAAAAAACACAUUUUACAACAUCAACUACUGAUAUUAACCUUGCUGUUAUUGAAAUUUAAAGUAUAGUGAGGUAGAUAUGUUGGUUUAACUAAAAGGCAUUUAAACUACAUAGAACUACAGAAACAACAACUCAUCCAUAAAAAUAAAAAAAUAGGAUUCGAACUACUAUCUUCAUGAAUACUGCACUUGUACACAGUUUGCGUGAACAUCAAUUUUGACAAGCAGGGAUUACUUGAACUACACACUACCUCAGUUCCCUACUAAAAUAAAAUAGAAUUUGCAAGCACAUACAAAGGUUAUGAACAAGAAUAAAAAAAUGUAAAGAGAUAAGAUGAAUACAACUCACCAUCCUCCUAAAGCAAUACUCAUCAAGGAUAACAUCGAAAACUUCUGGGACUUCAUCGGCUGGCACAAAUGGAAAGCAUGGGGCGCCAGGACAACGACAAACUAGGCAAACCAUAAUGUAAAAAAAGGGUUAUUCUACAUUAAUAACUUAAAAAAAUGAUAUUAUUCUCAAUUUAGAUGAUGAAAAAUAAUUACAAAUAAUAAAAGGAUAUUCUACAUUUCCCAACAGCAAAAGAUUCAAAUCAAUCUCACUGCUAUCAAGUGUAAACCUAGAAUCUAAAAGGCUAAUUCCUAAAAUUGAAAUACUCAAAUUAAAAAAAGUUGCACAUUCAUCAUACUAAAACUUCAUGCAUUACACAACAGCAAAAAAUAUAUGCAGGUAUUGAUCAUGGAAUAAUUACAUUAAGAUUUCAACCUAUAUGAACUACAAAUUACCUAACUCAAUUCAAUCAUAUAAACUACAAAAAGUUUUAUAGUCAUAAUACUAGAGUUGCACACAUUUCAUAAAAGCAAAAAAAUUCACAUCAAUCUUAGUGAUAUAAAGAGUAUAACCCUAGAAUCUAAAAGGCUAAUUCCUAAAAUUCAAAUACUGAAAUUUAAAAAGUUAUGCAUUCAUGAUACUAAAACUUGCACUCAUUAUGUAACAGCAAGAUUCAUAUAAAAUCAAUAAUUGAGAUGAUUGUAAAUGUGCUACAAAAUAAACACAACACAAACCUAAACUAGACAGAUUGACAUGAACAAAGAACUUAAACUAGAAGUAAGGCAGAACAUCACAUUUUGGAAGAAAUUAAAAAAAAUUCAUUAUUACAACUAAAUUUGCAUCUUCAGAGAGCUACAUUUACAUCACACAUUUUACAAAAAAUAGAAGGCACAAUAAACAAUUGCAUAGGACUAACCAAAGUAACAAGUAACAUUAGGUGUAAAUAUAGAAAUUAACAUGACAAAGAAACUUAAACUAGAAGUAAAGCAAAGCACCCACUGAAAAAUUCAGAAUUAUCUACCAGAUAACCAUAGCACCUACCUAGAAGUAGAAUUUAUAUUUCCAUAAACGACAAUUGAAAAAUGUGAAACAAGAACAAAGAAGUCAAACUAGAACAUCCCCCCAGCCCUUUUCAAAGCAUAGUUUAUAUUUUUACAGGACAAAAAAUGAUGUUUAACAUUAAUUAUAACAUGAACAAAAAACUACAAACGAAGGCAGAAUCCUCCCUAAAAGCACAAAUUACAAACUCAUGAUUAUAACUAAAAUUGCAACUUCACGCAACUUAAACUUGUAGUAAUUGCUAUAGAGCAACUAGAAAUACCAUAGUAUGAGCAUGUACAUAUACAUUUACACAUAAAUACAUUGUCAUAAACAAAGAAGUUAAAGUAGAUCUAAAAUAAAACACCUCCUUAAAUGCAGAAUUCAGAUCAAUUCACGAUUACUAACAAAAAAUGCAUUCACAGGCAGCUAAAGUUGCAGUCAUUGAUUAAGAGCAAACGAUCAUGAAAUAAUUCACAAAGAUAAACAUGUUACCAUUAACGAAGAACUUAAACUAGAAGUAAAGCAGAACACCACCUUUGUCAAAAUUUAAAAAGAAAUCAUAAUUACAACUAUGUUUGCAUCUUCAGAAAGCUAAACUUGCACACUAGAAACAAAUCAGAAAACUUGCACAAUUGCAUCUUCAGAUAUCUAGAUAUGCUUUCACAUCAGAAACAAUCAAAGAAAAGAUAAAAAUUGAAAAAAACUGACAAUUAUAUCUACUCACAUAAAGUGAGGAGUUCUAGAUUAGUUCAUAAAAGCUCAACUUUCAGAAGAAAAAAAUUCAACUAAAAUCACUUAGUCAUGCAUAUGUUCAGUUGAUUCUAAGGAACUUGCACAUCAAAAACCUACAGAAACUGCAGACUCAACACAGACAAACAUACAUCCACACUUGAAAAUUUAAUUGUGCAAAAAGGUCAAAUGGAUUCUAAAGAACUUGCACAUCAGAAAACUAUACAGCAACAGUCACCCCAUCUAUAUCUACUCAACAUGCAUGAUGAUAUCGAGCUACUACUAGGCCUGUAAAGUUCUACACAAAAGUGGACAUGCUUUCACAUCAGAAUUCCUCGAACAGCAAACUUAUACAUUAAUUCUCUAUCUAUUUGACCUAGAAUCUGCAUCAGAUUAACAAAUAUAGACACAAAAGUUUGCAUCUUUUGAGACAUGCAAGACACCAAGAAUAUCAAAAUAUAGAACUACUCAGACCUUGCACAUCAAAAAGCUUAAACCUACUCGGGUUCCUGGCUCUCCUCCUCCCAUUCAUAACUUAAAACAAAAUAUCAAAAAUGAAAAAUGAAAACCCUAAACCAAACCCGAUAUUGGAACAAAACCUAACAAACGCAUCUAAUUAAACAGAACAUAAACCUAGCUACUACUACUAGAACAAGAAAACAACCUCAAAAACCAAGAUCUGACAACUAAAAACAGAUAAAAACACUCGAUUUGAAUCAGAGAUAUGAGCAAGAAACCCUAAGUAAAACAGGAAAACAACACAAUAAUAAGAACCAAGGAGCACAAAUACCUCAAAAAGGACUAGAUGCAGCAACCGGGAUCCGUCAGCAGCUAAGCCCUCCGACUACAGACACCUGCAAAAACAAUACAGAACAACAACAGAAUCACCCACGCAGUCAGAUAUAGAGGAGAAAAGGGGUAAAACAAAGCAAGAAAACGCAAAUCAGAUGAACAAGAAUCCGCAGAUGGAGAAAAUCCAGCAAGAACGCCACGAAC
Molecule: long non-coding RNA, 5224 nt
Filed under: Triticum aestivum (bread wheat)
Lineage: Eukaryota; Viridiplantae; Streptophyta; Magnoliopsida; Poales; Poaceae
Description: long non-coding RNA (TAES_LNC020118)
Source: RNAcentral